This 253-nucleotide ribosomal RNA is filed under the name uncultured bacterium. RNAcentral's name for it is "partial 16S ribosomal RNA". It matches the Rfam family "Bacterial small subunit ribosomal RNA", at positions 524 to 776 of the family's 1533-position model. The record is from RNAcentral.
UACGGAGGAUGCAAGCGUUAUCCGGAAUGAUUGGGCGUAAAGCGUCCGCAGGUGGCUGUGUAAGUCUGCUGUCAAAGAGCGAAGCUCAACUUCGUAAAGGCAGUGGAAACUACACGGCUAGAGUGCGUUCGGGGCAGAGGGAAUUCCUGGUGUAGCGGUGAAAUGCGCAGAUAUCAGGAGGAACACCGGUGGCGAAGGCGGAUCUCUGGGCCUGAUCUGACGCUGAGGCGCGAAAGCUAGGGGAGCGAACAGG